Lagopus leucura (white-tailed ptarmigan) is the source of this 1805-nucleotide long non-coding RNA. RefSeq lists it as uncharacterized. The transcript has 2 exons. The record is from RefSeq and is a predicted model, not a curated record. Lineage: Eukaryota; Metazoa; Chordata; Aves; Galliformes; Phasianidae.
GUCAGUCUCACAAUAGAUUAGCGGCAGUGCCAGAAACAGGAUCCAGAAUGCCCAACUCUUUCCUCUCAGCUUCCCUUUAAGUCAAGACAAAAGGCUUUGAAAUAAGAAAGGGGCUAAAACAAAACAUGCCAGACAUCAAGCAUCAGGAUUAUCUGGUUUACAUGAGCAGGUUGAGCAAAGGCCCCUCCUAUGAGAUGCUCACAGUGCUCAGCACAGUGUGCUCUAAAGCAGAAUGCUUAGUACUGAGACAUGCUGUUGGAUGCUGCACAUAUGGAAACGAAGAUGAAGUGCUGCAAAUGGAACAGACUCAAAUCUGAAGCCUGUGGUUAUAAGAAAAUAUACUGGGGAAUACUUGUCCUACGUAAAAGUUCUAUACUCUCCAGAAAACAUCAGCAUCUGUUCUCUCAUUUCUUAGCAUCUGCAUUUAUCCCACAUACUUUUGCUUAACUUGCAAAACAACAGAAUGUUCCAAGCAAUUCAGAGCUUCAUACCUUACUGCGAGUUUUUUUGAACCUAAGAAAAUUCUUUUAUAUAGGUAUACCUAGGAUGGAUUCUAUCAACAUCUAGGAUGGAUUCCAAAAGACAUAUAUCUGAUUAAAAUAGCUUACAUAUCAAUUCUGGUGUUUUAAAUCAUCGAGUUACCGAAGUCUGAAAGCAUCUAAAACAUCUCUUGGGUAGAAGAAGGCCUAUUUUUGAACACUACUACCCCCAGGGCAAUUAGAUAAACUUCUGUAACAGCAUAUAGGACAGUUAUGAAAUUUUCCAAAGAAAGAAAACAGUCUUCUGGGAUGACAGCAACACGAGAAAUGUCAGACUAAACAUACAUUUUUGAGACGAGAUGUAAGUAACUAAACAAAGCACCCAAGUGCCGUCUCAUCCUUAAAGAGCAUCUGCCCUGUUUUCUUUGGAAAGCCUAAGCUAAGCUCUACAUCCCCAUGAUCAGCUCAGCAACUGCUACUCCACCUUCUUCCAUAAAUAUACUUCACAGAAGCAGGAGAAUGGGUUCAUUGUUGACUCAGUAGUAUCCAUUCCGUCUCUUCAAAUAUUUUCCAUUUGGUUUUUGUCGCUGUUUUGGGUUGUUUGCUUGGUUUUUGUUUGUUUGGGGUUUUAAUUUUCUUUUCCUCCCCUUGUUUUCCUUUUGUAUUUGAAGAUACAAUAUGAAGUGCAUAUCCUAGUAUUUCAUGCUGCUGGCUAUAAGCAGAUGGUCAAAUCAUUACUGAACGGCUUUAAUUGGUGCAGAGAUGAGCACAUAUUAAUUCAUACUAUUUUCAAAGUAUCUCAUGUGUUCUCACCGUUGUUACAGAAAUUAGAGGAAAAGAUCUACAUUGCUUUCUGCCUUAUGAGAUGAAGCAACUAAGUCUAAAAUAUGAAAACUUGUAUACAACCUGCUUUCUACACUACCCUAGUGGUGCGUGCCGCAAAGGAAAUGGUCUAUGCCAAUGUUUCUCUUGACAAAACUGCUACCAAAAUGAUGAAGCAAGCUCUGUUUUUGGAUGCAUGGUGAAAAAUACCUUAACAUUCCUUAAAGCUUAACUCUAGCAAUGAAGUUCCCAAACUCCUGCAAAGGCUAACUAGUUCACCUAUUAUGGAACUAACCAGUUUGUCAAGGGAAUGAAACAUCCACAUUUCCCACAGACUUCUGUGCAUAUGUUAAUGGAUCAGUACCUCAAAUAUAUUAAAGUCAUUUACACACCCACUUAUAAUAGAUUGUUUUAAAACUUGUCCUUAAUACAGAACCAGUUAUAUUGUGAAGUUGAAUUCUCUGUUUUCAAUUUUAUAAAUAAAUAGAAGUGAUUUAGCAUCCA